This 197-nucleotide ribosomal RNA is filed under the name Sticta sp. RNAcentral's name for it is "5.8S ribosomal RNA". The stretch from base 3 to 156 matches the Rfam family "5.8S ribosomal RNA". From Rfam's summary of the family: 5.8S ribosomal RNA (5.8S rRNA) is a component of the large subunit of the eukaryotic ribosome. The record is from RNAcentral. Lineage: Eukaryota; Fungi; Ascomycota; Lecanoromycetes; Peltigerales; Lobariaceae.
AAAACUUUCAACAACGGAUCUCUUGGUUCUGGCAUCGAUGAAGAACGCAGCGAAAUGCGAUAAGUAAUGUGAAUUGCAGAAUUCAGUGAAUCAUCGAAUCUUUGAACGCACAUUGCGCCCCUUGGCAUUCCGAGGGGCAUACCUGUUCGAGCGUCAUUGCACCCCUCAAGCCCUUUGUCAGAGAGGGCUUGGUGUUG